RNAcentral lists this unclassified non-coding RNA (179 nucleotides) under uncultured Ascomycota. Its description in RNAcentral is "sequence contains ITS1". Lineage: Eukaryota; Fungi; Ascomycota. The record is from RNAcentral.
CACAAUAUUACGGGGGGCCGGACCCCAAAACUGCUUGCAGCUUUGGACCCGCCCUGUCUGAUAUUCUACCCAUGUCUUUUGCGUACUUUUCGUUUCCUUGGUGGGCUUGCCUGCCAAUAGGACAACCAAUAAAACCUUUUUGUAAUUGCAAUCAGCGUCUGAAAAACUUUUAAUAGUUA